AGUUUGUCCUUGGUCAUAUUGCUGUUUUUUGUUAUCUGCAAAUUUGCCAAGGACGAAAU
RNAcentral lists this microRNA precursor (59 nucleotides) under Panagrellus redivivus. RNAcentral describes it as "mir-7957 microRNA precursor family". It matches the Rfam family "mir-7957 microRNA precursor family". Lineage: Eukaryota; Metazoa; Nematoda; Chromadorea; Rhabditida; Panagrolaimidae. The record is from Rfam by way of RNAcentral.